CCCUCGCUGUAAGUGUUACAAGUGUCACACGGAACUGCCGGUCAUAAACCGGAGGAAGGUGGGGAGUGACGUCAAGUCAGCAUGGCCUUUAUAUCCUGGGCUACACACACGCUACAAUGGGAAGGGACAAUAGGUUGCGAAACCGCGAGGUGGAGCCAAUCCAGCAAAACUUCCCUCAGUUCAGAUUGCAGGCUGCAACUCGCCUGCAUGAAGUUGGAGUUGCUAGUAAACGCAGGUCAGCCAUACUGCGUUGAAUACGUUCCCGGGGCUU
RNAcentral lists this ribosomal RNA (271 nucleotides) under uncultured Anaerolineaceae bacterium. Its description in RNAcentral is "partial 16S ribosomal RNA". It matches the Rfam family "Bacterial small subunit ribosomal RNA", at positions 1102 to 1382 of the family's 1533-position model. Lineage: Bacteria; Bacillati; Chloroflexota; Anaerolineae; Anaerolineales; Anaerolineaceae. The record is from RNAcentral.